GAUGAACGCUGGCGGCGUGCCUAAUACAUGCAAGUCGAGCGAACGGACGAGAAGCUUGCUUCUCUGAUGUUAGCGGCGGACGGGUGAGUAACACGUGGAUAACCUACCUAUAAGACUGGGAUAACUUCGGGAAACCGGAGCUAAUACCGGAUAAUAUUUUGAACCGCAUGGUUAAAAAGUGAAAGACGGUCUUGCUGUCACUUAUAGAUGGAUCCGCGCUGCAUUAGCUAGUUGGUAAGGUAACGGCUUACCAAGGCAACGAUGCAUAGCCGACCUGAGAGGGUGAUCGGCCACACUGGAACUGAGACACGGUCCAGACUCCUACGGGAGGCAGCAGUAGGGAAUCUUCCGCAAUGGGCGAAAGCCUGACGGAGCAACGCCGCGUGAGUGAUGAAGGUCUUCGGAUCGUAAAACUCUGUUAUUAGGGAAGAACAUAUGUGUAAGUAACUGUGCACAUCUUGACGGUACCUAAUCAGAAAGCCACGGCUAACUACGU
RNAcentral lists this ribosomal RNA (496 nucleotides) under uncultured bacterium. Its description in RNAcentral is "partial 16S ribosomal RNA". It matches the Rfam family "Bacterial small subunit ribosomal RNA", at positions 28 to 506 of the family's 1533-position model. The record is from RNAcentral.